This 377-nucleotide ribosomal RNA is filed under the name uncultured bacterium. RNAcentral's name for it is "partial 16S ribosomal RNA". It matches the Rfam family "Bacterial small subunit ribosomal RNA", at positions 338 to 732 of the family's 1533-position model. The record is from RNAcentral.
CCUACGGGUGGCAGCAGUAGGGAAUUUUGCUCAAUGGGCGAAAGCCUGACGCAGCAACGCCGCGUGAACGAGACGCCCUUUGGGGUGUAAAGUUCUGUUAGUGGGGACGAAAAAUGACGGUACCUACAGAGGAAGCACCGGCUAACUCCGUGCCAGCAGCCGCGGUAAUACGGAGGAUGCGAGCGUUAUCCGGAUUUAUUGGGUGUAAAGGGUGCGUAGGCGGGAAUGUAAGUCAGCCGUUAAAUUUCGGGGCCCAACCCCGUCCGUGCCGUUGAAACUGGCGUUCUUGAGUAGCGGAGAGGUAGGCGGAAUGCGUGGUGUAGCGGUGAAAUGCAUAGAUAUCACGAAGAACUCCGAUUGCGAAGGCAGCAUACCAG